CUCCCUCCAUUUCCCUUCUCUCCCGCUCCCCCACCCCAGUCCUGCCGCCAUCGUACACGCACCGCCCGCCCCGGUGUCCGCCUGCCCAGGAAUGACACCAAGGAAGUUGUAUUUGCACACCAGACUGCCAUAAAGAAGACUCCCAGGAAGUCCCUUGGCAGUGGAGGAGGUGGACAGACUGCAGAGUCAGAUGUUGAAGGAGAGGAGGGGGCGGACGCAGCAAAUGUCAGGGGCAGAUGCGCCGCCGCAGUGCAGGUCGGUGACUCUGCAGGGGACCCUAACCGUUACGGACGCUAUCCGCGUGGCAGGGGUCCUCCACCCAAUUCCCAGUAGAAUUACUGGGACAGUGAGCGUGGGGGAAAGAACCCGGGACCGGAGCAUGCUCGCGAAGGCCAGACCCUCACGGCGCCGGCCCCACCGCAGGCGACGCUUCCCCCCUGAAUAUGUGCGGAGACCGCGUGGAUGCGGACCACAGCCUUCCAACAUCCUGUGCGGGGAGAAGUGAUGGAAGACGCCCAGAAAACCCCAAACCGCGAGAUGGCAAAGAGUCCAAGGCAACGGAUCCACCGGCGGAGAGUCCGUCCACUCCCGACGUCGAGCAGGGCGACGCGAGGUAAGUGUCCGCUUACCGGCUCUGCCAUCAUCCGGUUUCGUCGUCCAGCGGGAGGUGAGGAAGAAGUUCCGGCAAUAAGAAAUGCGCCCAAGAUUGGAGCUUCAGCCCUUAAGUGCCUGCUUGUUGCCCAUUGGCCAGACAACCAGAACUAUCCGCAUUAUUAUUUUUACCUAAAGACGUCGGUUUUUGGUUAGUGACAAAUGCAGUUUUUAAAAAAAAGAAAAGAAAAAAAAGCCUGGUUUGUCUCAAGACACUGUUCAAGGUUUUCAAAUGGUUUCCUAUCUGGUCAA
Acinonyx jubatus (cheetah) is the source of this 903-nucleotide long non-coding RNA. RefSeq lists it as uncharacterized. Lineage: Eukaryota; Metazoa; Chordata; Mammalia; Carnivora; Felidae. The transcript has 3 exons. The record is from RefSeq and is a predicted model, not a curated record.